This is a long non-coding RNA of Vigna unguiculata (cowpea), 494 nucleotides long. RefSeq lists it as uncharacterized. The record is from RefSeq and is a predicted model, not a curated record. NCBI's taxonomy places the organism in Eukaryota, Viridiplantae, Streptophyta, Magnoliopsida, Fabales, Fabaceae.
UGAUCAGAGAAUAGUUAAAUUCUUUCGAUUGUAUGUUUCAUUUAUAAAUUGUUUUCCUUCUUGGAAAUAACAUACACACAAUUCUUGGAUAGGUUUUAGAGAUGGAAAGAAAAGUGAAGACAAAUAGUAAGAUGCAUAAUAUUGGAGUUGUGAUUAUAAUGAUGAUUGUGUUGGGUUGCACAGAUGCAAAAAAAUGUGGUGUAAAAUGUUACUUUCAAUGUUUAAUAUGGUUAGAUCCACGAUGUUAUGCUGAUUGCAUGAAUAAAUGUCACCGUGAUCAUGAUCCUCCUCUCAAUGUUUACGGUGAAUGCAUUAAUAGUUGUAGUGUGACCAAAUCUAAUAUAGGUGAUCAUGUUGUUCCGACAGCUGCUAUGAACUCUUGCUUACAAAAUUGUCAUGUCAAGUUUUUAAACAAUGCAUAAAAAUAAGGUUGUUAUAAAUAAUAUUAUGUGACUGUAAUACACAAAUAAAUGAGUUCUGCCUAUUUCUCCUUC